UGUUACAGUAGAAUAUGCUAUCACCAUGAUAUAUAUAUAUAUAUAUAAAAGGUUGAGUGAAGCCACUAAAAAAUAUCACUCUCAAUUGGGUUGGCCCUAUAGGGUUUUGACCCUACUUUAUAAGUAGGGCCAAGAUAAAAAAUGGCCCUAUAACCUGCAGGGCUAAUUAUUUAAAAUGUUUGUAGGCCAAAAAUCCUAUAAAACUAAAGGGCCUAGGGCCAGUCCAUGGGCUACUUUUUUUUUUUGGUAAAAGCUAAAUUUUUUAACCCACAAUAAUAAUACACUCUAAUUCAUUUUGAUUAAGACAAAAAAAAUUUCUAAUCUUAGUUGGUAACACACAACACAGUUCCAAAAAGAACAAAAGAAAAAGAAUUAUAAGAUUGGUCACAUGAAAAAAAGAAAUGCAACUGGGCAAGGAAUGCAUCGAAGAGAUAACUUGUAAACUUGUCUUGAUAAGCAUGCAUAUAAAAGAGAAAGAGAGAGAAAGAAUCAAUUUGAUUCCAAAUUCACCGUUGAAUCAAAGACACACUGGGGUGACGCACAAGUUCUGAAGGAACUGAGAACAAAAUCGACCCUUCUUCUCUAACUCCAAGUUUAUCAUGUAGAUGCUCAAGGAACUUCACCAUCUUCUAGAACCUUUCCUACCUCGAAACUCUUAGACAUUUCAAACAACUACUUCUCAGGUUGAGAUGCUCCACAAGCAUCACUUCCACUAUGAACAUAGCAUGUGCCGUGGGAUUAUUGGGGAUUUUCUUUCUUUUUUUUUUUUGAAAA
This is a non-coding RNA of Arachis ipaensis, 774 nucleotides long. Lineage: Eukaryota; Viridiplantae; Streptophyta; Magnoliopsida; Fabales; Fabaceae. The record is from RefSeq and is a predicted model, not a curated record.